This 235-nucleotide long non-coding RNA is filed under the name Elaeis guineensis (African oil palm). RNAcentral's name for it is "long non-coding RNA (EGUI_LNC019788)". The record is from RNAcentral. Lineage: Eukaryota; Viridiplantae; Streptophyta; Magnoliopsida; Arecales; Arecaceae.
AAGCGAAAUUCAGUGCAGGGGUAAAAUGGUAAUUUUAAAAAUUUUUCAAAAUUAUGAUUUUAUAGUAAAAAAUAUUAAUUAAUCUAAUUAAUUAAUAUGAGUUUACCCUACACUAGGAUCUAAAUAUGAUAUACAGCAGGCAUGCAUUUAAAUUUAAAAUUCAAAUUUGAACAGUAAACACUUUAUUGUAAUGUGUUCAGAACACAAUACCUUUGUGCGGAUCCGCAAUCUGAUC